GAUGAACGCUGGCGGCGUGCUUAACACAUGCAAGUCGAACGGACAGGCCUCUUUCGGGGGGUACUCGCGUGGCGAACGGGCGAGUGACUCGCGAGUAACUUGCCUUUGUCUUUGGGUUAACUUCCGGCGACUGGCGGUAGUACCGGCUAGGUGCUACAGCUGACCGCAGGGGGCUGGAAUGUUUCGGCGGUUGGGGGUGGCCUGGCGGGGUAUCCGCUUGUUGGUGGGAUGAUGGCUUACCAAGGCCUUGCCGUGAAGCCGGUCAGUGGGAGUGAGCGGCGGUAUUGGGACUGAGAUGCGGCACAAGCACCUACGGGAGGCAGCAGGGGGGAAUAUUGCACAAUGGGUGGAAGCCUGAUGCAGCAGCGCCGCGGGCGGGAUGACGCCCUUAGGGUUGAAAACCGCUUUCGCUCAUGACGAAGCUUGGUGUGACGGUAGUGGGUAAAAAAGCACCGGCUAACUACGUG
RNAcentral lists this ribosomal RNA (467 nucleotides) under uncultured bacterium. Its description in RNAcentral is "partial 16S ribosomal RNA". It matches the Rfam family "Bacterial small subunit ribosomal RNA", at positions 28 to 507 of the family's 1533-position model. The record is from RNAcentral.